CAAUUAUCCAGAGCAGACGGAGGGAUUUGGCCCGCUGAUGUCUCGGCAGCGGGCCAUCAGGCACUGUGCCAAUUCCAACAAGCAGAUGCUUGAACGAUAAUCC
Molecule: non-coding RNA, 103 nt
Filed under: Lacicoccus alkaliphilus
Lineage: Bacteria; Bacillati; Bacillota; Bacilli; Caryophanales; Salinicoccaceae
Also listed under: 1 other name
Description: Salinicoccus alkaliphilus SAM-I sequence
Rfam family: SAM riboswitch aptamer (S box leader)
About the family: The SAM riboswitch is found upstream of a number of genes which code for proteins involved in methionine or cysteine biosynthesis in Gram-positive bacteria. The SAM riboswitch acts at the level of transcription termination control.
Source: RNAcentral